GAUGAACGCUAGCUACAGGCUUAACACAUGCAAGUCGCGGGGCAGCAUGGGGGUUGCUUGCAACCCCUGAUGGCGACCGGCGCACGGGUGAGUAACGCGUAUCCAACCUGCCCUUCACCACGGGCUAACCCGGCGAAAGUCUGACUAAUACCGUAUGUUGUCCAUUCACGGCAUCCGAUUUGGACGCAAGGCUUGGCGGUGUAAGGGUGGGGCUGCGUCCGAUUUGCUUGACGGCGGGGUAACGGCCCACCGUGGCUACGGUCGGUAGGGGUUCUGAGAGGAAGGUCCCCCAGACUGGAGCUGAGACACGGUCCAGACUCCUACGGGAGGGAGCAGUGAGGAAUAUUGGUGGAGGGACGUAAGCCUGAACCAGCCAAGUAGCGUGCAGGAUGACUGCCAUAUGGGUUGUAAACUGCUUUGAUGCGGGGAAAAAGUGGCUCACGUGUGGGCUUUUGCAGGUACCGCAUGAAUAAGGACCGGCUAAUUCCGUG
RNAcentral lists this ribosomal RNA (491 nucleotides) under uncultured bacterium. RNAcentral describes it as "partial 16S ribosomal RNA". It matches the Rfam family "Bacterial small subunit ribosomal RNA", at positions 28 to 507 of the family's 1533-position model. The record is from RNAcentral.